RNAcentral lists this long non-coding RNA (789 nucleotides) under Salmo salar (Atlantic salmon). RNAcentral's name for it is "lncRNA (ENSSSAG00000082313.1, ENSSSAG00000086940.1)". Lineage: Eukaryota; Metazoa; Chordata; Actinopteri; Salmoniformes; Salmonidae. The record is from RNAcentral.
GCAGGAUGCAGCAGUUAUUUAUUUACAUUUUUCAGCGUCAUAAAUCUCCAUAUAUCUCUAGCUCCAAGGAGAUGUGUACAACUCUCCUACAAGACAGACUCCAACUGGUAGAAAUAGCAGAUUUCUCACAGACAAAUAUCACUAGGUUGAUACGUUUAGUUCACAUACUCAAAUAGACUAAAUAUCACUAGGUUGAUACGUUUCAUUCACAUACUCAAACAGACUAAAUAUCAUUAGGUUGAUACGUUUAGUUCACAUACUCAAACAGACUAAAUAUCACUAGGUUGAUACGUUUAGUUCACAAACUCAAACAGACUAAAUAUCACUAGGUUGAUACGUUUAGUUCACAUACUCAAACAGACUAAAUAUCACUAGGUUGAUACGUUUAGUUCACAUACUCAAACAGACUAAAUAUCAUUAGGUUGAUACGUUUAGUUCACAUACUCAAACAGACUAAAUAUCACUAGGUUGAUACGUUUCAUUCACAUACUCAAACAGACUAAAUAUCACUAGGUUGAUACGUUUAGUUCACAUACUCAAACAGACUAAAUAUCACUAGGUUGAUACGUUUCAUUCACAUACUCAAACAGACUAAAUAUCACUAGGUUGAUACGUUUCAUUUACAUACUCAAACAGACUAAAUAUCACUAGGUUGAUACGUUUAGUUCACAUACUCAAACAGACUAAAUAUCACUAGGUUGAUACGUUUAGUUCACAUACUCAAACAGACUAAAUAUCACUAGGUUGAUACGUUUAGUUCACAUACUCAAACAGACUAAAUAUCACUAG